RNAcentral lists this long non-coding RNA (434 nucleotides) under Rattus norvegicus (Norway rat). RNAcentral's name for it is "long non-coding RNA NONRATT022201". The record is from RNAcentral. Lineage: Eukaryota; Metazoa; Chordata; Mammalia; Rodentia; Muridae.
GGCCUGGCUGUUGGAGCCCUGGCUCUGGGGCUCUGGAAUCCCAAACCUGCAGAGGACCCCAGAGAACUUCAGCUGAUCUCAUCUGCAACCCUGUCAGACUGGGGUGGUUAAAUGGACAGGCAGGAGGAGGCAGGACAGCGGAUCCCUAUGGAUGGAGGUCUCAGUUCGAAGUCUGGAGCACUUUUCUUUGACACCUGAACUCCAAACUUGCUGCCAGCUGCUCACUCUCUGGACCUCUGAUGCCGUCCUUGAGGUGGAAGUCCGCCUGAGGAGCGUGUAUCGAAGUCUGUGUCCCUGUGACUGUGUGUGUGUGUGAUGGGGAGAGCACGUUCUCCGUAUGUGUGUGUAUAGAUGAUUGGAGAGUGUGUGUGUGGUCUUGGGCUUGGCUCUCCUGGGGAGCAUGGAGCGUGAAAUAAAGAGGCGGACGUUUUUGG